UAAGACUUUAAGUUAAAAAAACUAUGUUCCUUCAAAGUACAAAUUAAUUAAAAAAAUUAAGUCUUAG
Molecule: transfer RNA, 67 nt
Filed under: Ornithodoros turicata
Lineage: Eukaryota; Metazoa; Arthropoda; Arachnida; Ixodida; Argasidae
Description: tRNA-Trp
Source: RNAcentral